UACGUAGGGGGCUAGCAUUGUCCGGAAUCAUUGGGCGUAAAGAGCGUGUAGGCGGCCCGGUAAGUCAACGGUGAAAGCUCGACGCUCAACGUCGAGUCGGCCGUCGAUACUGCCGCGCUCGAGCACUGUAGAGGCAGAUGGAAUUCCGGGUGUAGCGGUGAAAUGCGCAGAUAUCAGGAGGAACACCGGUGGCGAAGGCGGGUCUCUGGGCCGAUACUGACGCUGAGGAGCGAAAGCGUGGGGAGCGAACAGG
This 253-nucleotide ribosomal RNA is filed under the name uncultured bacterium. RNAcentral's name for it is "partial 16S ribosomal RNA". It matches the Rfam family "Bacterial small subunit ribosomal RNA", at positions 524 to 776 of the family's 1533-position model. The record is from RNAcentral.